AAUUCGAUUGAGUUUGAUCCUGGCUCAGGACGAACGCUGGCGGCGUGCUUAACACAUGCAAGUCAAGGGGGCCCAGCAAUGGGCAACCGGCGAACGGGUGCGUAACACGUGAGCAACCUUCCGAAAUAUGGGGGAUAGCCGGCCUAACGGCCGAGUAAUACCGCAUACGCUCUCGAUGAGGCAUUUCAUUGAGAGGAAACCUCCGGGGUAUUUCGAGGGGCUCGCGGCCUAUCAGCUAGUUGGCGAGGUAACGGCUCACCAAGGCAACGACGGGUAGCUGGUCUGAGAGGAUGGCCAGCCACAUUGGGACUGAGAUACGGCCCAGACUCCUACGGGAGGCAGCAGUGGGGAAUCUUGCGCAAUGGCCUAACGGCUGACGCAGCGACGCCGCGUGUAGGAUGAAGCUCUUCGGAGUGUAAACUACUGUUGCCCGGGACGAAUAGCUCGAUUAAUCGAGCCUGACAGUACCGGGUGAGGAAGCACCGGCUAACUCCGUGCCGGCAGCCGCGGUGAUACGGGGGGUGCGAGCGUUGUCCGGAAUCACUGGGCGUAAAGGGCGCGUAGGUGGUUUGAUAAGGGUGUGGUGAAAGUCCGGGGCUCAACCCCGGAUCUGCCGUGCCGACUGUCAAACUCGAGGACUGUAGAGGCAGACGGAAUUCCGGGUGUAGCGGUGGAAUGCGUAGAGAUCCGGA
This 692-nucleotide ribosomal RNA is filed under the name uncultured bacterium. Its description in RNAcentral is "bacterial SSU rRNA". It matches the Rfam family "Bacterial small subunit ribosomal RNA", at positions 1 to 702 of the family's 1533-position model. The record is from RNAcentral.